AUUGAACGCUGGCGGCAGGCCUAACACAUGCAAGUCGAGCGGAUGAAGGGAGCUUGCUCCUGGAUUCAGCGGCGGACGGGUGAGUAAUGCCUAGGAAUCUGCCUGGUAGUGGGGGAUAACGUCCGGAAACGGGCGCUAAUACCGCAUACGUCCUGAGGGAGAAAGUGGGGGAUCUUCGGACCUCACGCUAUCAGAUGAGCCUAGGUCGGAUUAGCUAGUUGGUGGGGUAAAGGCCUACCAAGGCGACGAUCCGUAACUGGUCUGAGAGGAUGAUCAGUCACACUGGAACGGAGACACGGUCCAGACUCCUACGGGAGGCAGCAGUGGGGAAUAUUGGACAAUGGGCGAAAGCCUGAUCCAGCCAUGCCGCGUGUGUGAAGAAGGUCUUCGGAUUGUAAAGCACUUUAAGUUGGGAGGAAGGGCAGUAAGUUAAUACCUUGCUGUUUUGACGGUACCAACAGAAUAAGCACCGGCUAACUUCGUG
RNAcentral lists this ribosomal RNA (484 nucleotides) under uncultured bacterium. RNAcentral's name for it is "partial 16S ribosomal RNA". It matches the Rfam family "Bacterial small subunit ribosomal RNA", at positions 30 to 507 of the family's 1533-position model. The record is from RNAcentral.